RNAcentral lists this unclassified non-coding RNA (249 nucleotides) under uncultured Borreliella sp. Its description in RNAcentral is "partial 5S-23S ribosomal RNA intergenic spacer". The record is from RNAcentral. Lineage: Bacteria; Pseudomonadati; Spirochaetota; Spirochaetia; Spirochaetales; Borreliaceae.
GUUCCUAGGCAUUCACCAUAGAAUUUUAUUACUUUGAAUAUUUUUAUUUUCCAUUUCUAUUUUGCCAAUUUGUUUAUACAACAUAAAAUAAUAUAUAUCUUUGUUCAAUCCAUGUCAAUAUUUAUUUUAUUUUUUACAUUAUUUAAACAAAACACUCAAAAACAUGAACAUUAAAAAAAUAAAAUAAAGGUUUGAAGUACAAAAUAAAAACCCUGGCAAUAACUUACUCUCCCGCAAACUCGCAGACUC